RNAcentral lists this ribosomal RNA (813 nucleotides) under uncultured bacterium. Its description in RNAcentral is "bacterial SSU rRNA". It matches the Rfam family "Bacterial small subunit ribosomal RNA", at positions 8 to 796 of the family's 1533-position model. The record is from RNAcentral.
AGAGUUUGAUCCUGGCUCAGAACGAACGCUGGCGGCGUGCCUAACACAUGCAAGUCGAGCGAGAAAGUCCCCGCAAGGGGAUGAGUACAGCGGCGAACGGGUGAGUAACACGUGGGCAACCUGCCCUUCAGUCAGGAAUAACCCCGCGAAAGCGGGGCUAAUACCAGGUAACGUCCCUUGAGGGCAUCUUCGGGGGACCAUAGGGGGCGAGCGCAAGCGGCUCCCGCUGAAGGAUGGGCCUGCGGCUGAUUAGCUAGUUGGUGGGGUAACGGCCUACCAAGGCGACGAUCAGUAGCCGACCUGAGAGGGUGACCGGCCACACUGGGACUGAGACACGGCCCAGACUCCUACGGGAGGCAGCAGUGGGGAAUAUUGCGCAAUGGGCGAAAGCCUGACGCAGCGACGCCGCGUGGGUGAUGAAGGCCUUCGGGUUGUAAAGCCCUGUCGGGUGGAACGAAUCCCCCGCGGAAUAAUACUCCGCGGGAUUGACGGUACCACCGAAGGAAGCCCCGGCUAACUACGUGCCAGCAGCCGCGGUAAUACGUAGGGGGCGAGCGUUGUUCGGAUUUACUGGGCGUAAAGAGCGCGUAGGUGGUUCGACAAGUCGGAGGUGAAAUCCCUCGGCUCAACCGAGGACCCGCGUCCGAUACUAUCGAACUUGAGUGCAGGAGAGGAGAGCGGAAUUCCGAGUGUAGCGGUGAAAUGCGUAGAUAUUCGGAGGAACACCGGUGGCGAAGGCGGCUCUCUGGACUGCUACUGACACUGAGGCGCGAAAGCUAGGGGAGCAAACGGGAUUAGAUACCCUGGUAGUCC